GAUGAACGCUGGCGGCGUGCCUAAUACAUGCAAGUCGAGCGAACAGAUGAGGAGCUUGCUCCUCUGACGUUAGCGGCGGACGGGUGAGUAACACGUGGAUAACCUACCUAUAAGACUGGGAUAACUUCGGGAAACCGGAGCUAAUACCGGAUAAUAUAUUGAACCGCAUGGUUCAACAGUGAAAGACGGUUUUGCUGUCACUUAUAGAUGGAUCCGCGCCGCAUUAGCUAGUUGGUAAGGUAACGGCUUACCAAGGCGACGAUGCGUAGCCGACCUGAGAGGGUGAUCGGCCACACUGGAACUGAGACACGGUCCAGACUCCUACGGGAGGCAGCAGUAGGGAAUCUUCCGCAAUGGGCGAAAGCCUGACGGAGCAACGCCGCGUGAGUGAUGAAGGUCUUCGGAUCGUAAAACUCUGUUAUUAGGGAAGAACAAAUGUGUAAGUAACUAUGCACGUCUUGACGGUACCUAAUCAGAAAGCCACGGCUAACUACGUG
This 497-nucleotide ribosomal RNA is filed under the name uncultured bacterium. RNAcentral describes it as "partial 16S ribosomal RNA". It matches the Rfam family "Bacterial small subunit ribosomal RNA", at positions 28 to 507 of the family's 1533-position model. The record is from RNAcentral.